Long non-coding RNA from Poeciliopsis prolifica (blackstripe livebearer), 493 nucleotides. RefSeq lists it as uncharacterized. NCBI's taxonomy places the organism in Eukaryota, Metazoa, Chordata, Actinopteri, Cyprinodontiformes, Poeciliidae. The transcript has 3 exons. The record is from RefSeq and is a predicted model, not a curated record.
AAUAAAAUCAGCUGCAGACGAACAGAAGGAACAGAAGAUGGAGAGACUAAUCUGGAUCCUGGCUGCCUUUGGCCUCAGUUCGACCUCCAGGCUUGAGAGCAUAAAUUCGUUUUUGUGGAUGAGCUGAAGAACUGGACUGAAGCUCGGCGUUUCUGCAGAGAGACGUACAUAGACCUGGCAACCCUGGAGAGCCAGCAGGAAGUGGAGGCUCUGAAUGACCUGGCAACGUCAGUAAGCAAAACCUCCAAGGUUCCUGAUCCACUGACCGCUCAGAAUGAGGGACGAUCAGUAGAAAAGUUUGAAACUGGAGGGAGGAGCAAGAGGAGCAGCUCAGUGUGGCAGAGAAGAAACAGAAAGUUAUGGCUUUAGUUCUCACUGUUUUCAAUGUAGAGCCUUUAAAGCCAGUCAACCAUCCAACCAACUAACUAACCAACCAUCCAACCAACUAACUAACCAACCAUCCAACCAACACCCUAGUUGGGUCAGGAGCCUU